This is a long non-coding RNA of Sinocyclocheilus anshuiensis, 244 nucleotides long. RefSeq lists it as uncharacterized. The record is from RefSeq and is a predicted model, not a curated record. The transcript is spliced from 3 exons. Lineage: Eukaryota; Metazoa; Chordata; Actinopteri; Cypriniformes; Cyprinidae.
UCUGAGUGAAUCGCCAGAUGUCAGCUGCGAGUUUUCCUGUGGAGCUAACUACACCCCAAAGGCUCUUUUAAUAGCCACAGCACUGGGCAUCUUUGGCUUUAUCAGCUGUCAUGGAGGCCAUGCAGCCAAGACCAACUGGGAUGCUUGUUGCCAUAUUUCUUUUUGUUGCACUAUUGUCAUGAUCUCUGCUUUGGUUUGUUAUGAAUUCAGUUCUCUACUUUUUUUUGUAAUGUUCUAGAAUAAA